UUCUCAUAUAGCUUAAAUGGUAAAAACUAAUUUGGGGAAAAUUUUUAAAAGGAUUGGGACCAUUCACCAAACCAAACCCCAUCAACUUUUCUUGAUUCUUUUCUUUUGUCCCCAUACCAUUUAAUUUUGUGAAGUCGUUACGUUACUAUUCCGAUUGAUCCAAUUUCACGAUUAAUAAAUGUUUAGCUCUUUUGGUCAGUUUUGAUGUUGACAUCGGAGAAAGGGAAGCUUUGCACGGUUUAGCUUUCCUAAAGUUUUUGUAGGAUUUAAUUAUUAUUGGUCCCUCUUUGUUUAGUAGAUUGCAAAAAAGAGGUUUGUUGAAGGGUCUCUCUAGCCCAAAAUCGCAUGUUCCACUAGAUUCUCUAUGGAAAUCAAACAGGAGGUGGUGGUGAAUCUGCAUCAAGACGGUCGUUGGCAUUGUUGGUCUUGGGUCUUGUCAUCUUCAACAUUUGUACGGUGCUUUCACUUUUCUAAAGUCCAUUUUAUUUUUAAAAUAGUUAUGAUUAAAAUGAUGUAAC
This 518-nucleotide unclassified non-coding RNA is filed under the name Arabidopsis thaliana (thale cress). Lineage: Eukaryota; Viridiplantae; Streptophyta; Magnoliopsida; Brassicales; Brassicaceae. The record is from RNAcentral.